AAAAACAUGUUUAAAAUUUGUAUAACGAGAUAUCGAUUUUGCAAUUAGGCUCCGCCCCAUAAUUGCAAAAUCCAUAUUUCCUUGUAGAAAUUUACCAUUUUAACCAUGUUUUAAGUUUAUUGUUGUGAAAAAAUGGCUACGUAUUGUUACGAUUUUUUUUCUCGGAGUCGAGGGUGAAAGGGGCUUAGACGAAGUCUCGCUCGAUGGUUUUAAUCAGUCGUAGCGAACGCCUGUCACCGAUCUCGACCUUUUUUUUUAUUGCGGAUUGUCGCCGGCAGCUCCGCCAAAUUUUGAGUUUUUUUUUUCUCUACGAAGUAGUACUGGCGGGGACGGAGACGGCCAAGCGAGAGGAGGGGGUGCAAAGUAAGAGAAGAGAGAGAGUUGGUGCCGCGAGUAGAUGUAUUUGAGUUUGGCGAGAUUUGACCUGAUGGUUUCCUUUUUUUGAGAGGACUCAGUUCCAUAGGUUGAUAGUGAGGCGUAUCCCUUGUAUAAGGGUCCACGCCAGGGGCGAAAUUUCGGAGCCGUACAGAGGCGACGUAGAGGGCAGCGAGAACGAGGGAAAUUUGCUGGGCGCUGUGAUCAUCGAGUAGCGCCGGUUAGGAGACCCAGAGUUUUGGAUGAUCGCGACGUCGAAGACACGGACCUGGUGAGUUGCACAUCGGGGAAUCCAGGCUGCGGCAGGACUUGGUCAGCGCGUCGCCGUCGUCCUGUGGGAAGACUCCUGUUUUUUUGUGAGCUCCGAGUAAAAGAACACGCCUUAUCGCGAUCGGAAAUUUUCUUAUCGUUUGUCGCCCAGACCAAACCGUUUUUUUUAACUGCGUCUCUCUCUUUCACUCUCUCUUUCACUCUUUACAUGCUUUGCAACGUUUUUUUUCAAGUUUUCACGUACCCGAAUAAACUUGAUGGCGCCCAAUUUUUUUUAUUUGUGAAAUAGUCAGCAUUUCCUGUAACUAGCUAGUAGGCCGUUGUUGCGUAGUAGUUCGUCAGUUCAUUUGCUGUGGUAAUUAGUUAUUGACAUUAGUUGUAGUUUUGUUACCUUUUUACUAACUUAGAUUAUAAUUUUUUUUUGUACUAAAAGCCCUAAAUAUUUUUAAUUAUACAAGCUCGCCAAAAUAA
Molecule: long non-coding RNA, 1116 nt
Organism: Zophobas morio
Lineage: Eukaryota; Metazoa; Arthropoda; Insecta; Coleoptera; Tenebrionidae
Exons: 2
Source: RefSeq, a predicted model, not a curated record